UUGAGUUUUUAAUGCCCAAAGGAUCAAUUUUAAAAAUUAAAGUAUUGGGACAUAGUAAGGAAAUUGAUCAAUAAAAAUGCAAAGAUAGGAUGAAGCCUUCACCAAAUAAAAUGCAUAAAAAAAGUAAGAUAUAAGUAUUAAAAAAAUAUUGCUCAUAACAUCCGUAACUUGCAAACAACAUAUUAAAAUAUAAACAUUCAAAUGUUGUCUCGUGAUGUAAUCACAACCCAUAAAUCUAUGGGGAUCCGACUAUUUUUUUUGGACGAAAAAUUCCAUGCUCCUCCUUCUUGACUCCAAAUCUUAACCCUCCCUUGAUACUGUGUAUCAACAAUGGUGCGCUGAGCUUGUAACAAAGGUUGUUUUACCAGGAUCAUCGACUGUGUCUGAUGGGUAAUCUAAUUUCAAGAAGACUGGUGAUAUUUGUGAAGGCGUUUGUGGAAAGAGUCGAUCAAAAGCUUGCAUGUAUGCCGAUUGGAGAAUGGAGGAGAAAAUGAGGUUGAGAGGAAGUUUGUGUUGGGCAAAGAUGGCCCCUACGUGGAAGCGGCAACAGGCCCUCUUAUUCUAUUGCAGGGGGUACCAACCCGUGAGCUUUCCGAAGGCAGAGUCAUAGGUACACCGCUUCCACAUUUUCUCUUUUCAGCUACUCAUUUUCUAGAUUGAUUGGUUCUAUGAAUUGGGACCCAUUUUAUUUCUAUACCUGGAUGAUUGAUUCGUCUAUUACACGUGCACGCAAAGUCCGACUUUUUAUUAGAGCAUUUCAGUACUAGCCAAAGUUGUUUAAUUAUUUCGAAUUUUAGAAGGGAAAUGUUGAUUGAACAUUAGAAUAAAAAAUCAAAAGAACCAGCUUUCGUGCUCAGAUGCACAUUUUAUGCAUCCUCACUACAUUUAUUGUCACAUCACUGUUGAGCCAUCUUAUCAACUAUCAUGUUUCACUUUAAUUGAGAAAAUGUCUCUUGAAACCAUUGUUCCGCAAUUCGUGAGGCAUCUUAGCAAAGGAUUUGCCAAUUAGAAGGGUCGUUAAUGGAUUGCAAUGUUGUACUUGGUUAUUUUCAUUUUCCUUGCUCUACUAAGGGCAUUAUUUUCCUCCUCUUUCUGUAAGCAUACUGCUCUUGUCUUUUUUUAUGAUCUGAACUGUGUGUUGUAUAAGAUGAGAGUUAGUUCUAUUUUGACUCGUGCAAGUGAGUACCCAAAUUAGUAAAGCAAAAGGAGUCAUUGCAUAACACUUCUUUCCUCCAAGGUAUCUGCCACACUUUAAUUAUUUGUCAUAUAUUUGGUAUAAAGUAAUUAGAAAGGUUUCAAAUGUUGGUUUAGCUAAUGUUUAUCAUAUUGGUUCCUGAGAACUCUUAUCUCUUAUUUAUACAUCGUGUUCGUUUAGUGAUAUAAUCAUUUGGUUUCAUGUUUAAGCUUUCAUAGUGACAGUUUUGCAAAGUUUUUUCAACAUUGAAUUCACCAGUUGCUACCUAAUUUUUCUUCUAUGAUGGAAAUUUCAUUUAUCCAACAACAAGUAGGAUAACCUGCUUCUGCAAAACUGGUGCAGAAUAAGGCAACAUAUUGCCAUCGGUUGUAAAACAUCGUAUAGGAUGAACAAUAAUGUAAAUAAGAACAGAAGGUUAAAUAGUAAGAGAAAGUAUUAAUGGAGCAUGGAUUCUCUGUUGUUGUUUUAUACUUUUGCAUCUAGUUUUUCUCUUGAUUAGUAUGAACUCUUGAGUUAGCCUUCAAGCGCACAUAACUAAAUUGGGAUUGCUGCUUUGUGGUAAUGACAUGUCAUUUGUGAUUUUGAGAUAGUGGCUAACUAAACACAGAUUAACCUUAACAUGACCAACUGAAUUAACAAUGUCAUCUCUCUGGCUCCAUUUAUUAUGGAUAAAAAAUGGAUGAGAAGGUUGUUGCUUGAACUUGACCACAAAUUUUGUUAAAGAGUUACUCGUUUCAGAUUUGUAAUAUUGUUCACUUCUUCACUUCAUUUCCCAGUUUGAGUUUGAAGGUAUAGUUUUGGCAGAGUACUUCAACAUGAUAUUUUGGCAACAGGUAUCUGAUUCAAUGGUAUGUUAUCUUCGAUUUUCCUUACCCAAUUACUUUUGACAGUUUGUAUCAUUGGUGGAUCCAUCAAUUAGUGUUGAUUUUUCGAUACGACGAGAUUGCUAAGUUUUUAUUUUACACUUGAUAAAACUUUUAGUUUUAUAAGUUCUUAGUAUAGUACUAACAUAUAUGUUUUUAUAUUGAUAAAACAUAAUAAACCAUUUUAAUUAAAAUAUAUAGAUUUACGGCUUAUAAUUGGCCCUUUAAAAUUUUACACCAAGAUCCAUGAAUAAUUUAACUUUAUUGAUUUAAACUAGUAUUAUUCCUUCUUUUGUUUCAGAAUUUUGAUGCACGUAGGGCUUGAUGGUGUUGAGAUGGGUCUCAUUGUACACCAUAAACCUCUUGGGAACAAUCAAAGUUAGUUCAAGCUAAUUUUUCAGGAAGUACAGCAGAGGCAAGUCAGUUCAUAGCUUCCUUGCUGAAAAUUUAAUUUAAAUGGGGUUAACUUACUCAUUUUCCUGAAAAAUACUGUCUUGAAAUUGUUUUCGUUGUUUUUAGUUCUUUCUUAUCACAUUGUACUGACUCAUAUUCACCUCUGGCAUUAUGUUAAUAGUUGUUCUAUUGGAAAUGUAAUAAUUUCUAUUGAAGAUUUUGGUUGAGUGCUGCAGGGUUUUUGAAGUUGUUUCCCUCUUAUUAAAAGGAAAAGAAAGGUUAGAAAUAUGCUUUGAAAGGUAUGCAAUUUGUUAUCCUUGCAAUUGAGAUUUUAAACUUUUCUGUGAUUUUUUGUUUUCUUUUGUUAAUGGUCCUACUGAUGAUAUUUUGUUCUUUUAGUUGGGGAUAUAUUGGAUCUGAUUAUUGCAUUAAACUGCUUGAAAAUUAAAUCUGUAAUUAUCUCUAUGUUUUGCCAAUGACUUGAGCUAGUAUUAGCUCAUAUGCAUCUAUGAUAUUGUUGACUUACCAAACAAGGGAGUUCAAAAGAAGCACCCUAAGUUACUAACUUUAUGUUUCAUAAGGUGGUCUAUCGUAGAUACUAACUUUACGUUUCAUACCAUGGCCAUCUUUUGUUUCAUGGAAUUUAUUUCUUUUCUCUAAAAAAAGCUUCCCAUGCUUUUCUUUUGUUCUAUGCCUUGAUUGAUAUAUGAAGAAUUCAUACUCGUGUCCUAUUUGUCUAAGAAUUAUUUAUUUAUUUGUAAUCUUGCUGUCUUGUUAUGUUUGGUAAGGAAGAUCUGCGAGUUGUUAACCGUGUAAUGUAGUUUGUUUGUUUUUCUUUAUAGUUUAUUAUUAUGCCUUACAUACUGCUAUAUCCAACAAAAGAAAAAAGAUUGUGCUUUUGAUUUUGAAAGAGGGUUAGGCAUGUAGAAAGGUAACAUGUGUUUCUUUCAAAAUAAUUUGACUACUAAGCUACUAAGUAAAUAGCUCAUGACCAUUUCUAUGUUUUAAUACAGUUCUUUGCUGCUAAUAUAACUUCCCUAUUUCUUGAUGUGUAGAAAUUGGUGCCUGUCACCUAGCACUUUAGUCAUAGCUGGACUCUUCCACCACCUGCUUAGGCUGAUAUUAUUAAGGCUAACUGAUUUAAGAUUGCAGCCUCCAAUUAUUUGAGUUAGUUGAUUUAAGACAACUCUUACAUAGCUUGAUGAUCUACGUUCACAGUUGAUAUUAUUAAGGUUAGCUGAUUUAAGAUCGCAACUCUUAAACAGCUCGAUGACCUAUGUUAACAACUGGUAUUAUUAAGGCUAGUUGAUUUAAGAUCGCUACCUCUGAUUAUUUGAGUUUGCUUAUUUAAGAUCGUAACUCCUAACAGCUCAUUGACCUACGUUCAUAAUUAAUAUUAUUAAGGCUAGCUGAUUUAAGAUCAUAGCCUUCAAUUAUUCGAGUUCGU
RNAcentral lists this long non-coding RNA (3898 nucleotides) under Gossypium barbadense (sea-island cotton). RNAcentral describes it as "long non-coding RNA (GBAR_LNC010563)". The record is from RNAcentral. Lineage: Eukaryota; Viridiplantae; Streptophyta; Magnoliopsida; Malvales; Malvaceae.